ACUCCUACGGGAGGCAGCAGUGGGGAAUAUUGCACAAUGGGCGAAAGCCUGAUGCAGCAACGCCGCGUGAGUGAUGAAGGCCUUCGGGUUGUAAAGCUCUGUCUUUGGGGACGAUAAUGACGGUACCCAAGGAGGAAGCCACGGCUAACUACGUGCCAGCAGCCGCGGUAAUACGUAGGUGGCGAGCGUUGUCCGGAUUUACUGGGCGUAAAGGAUGCGUAGGCGGAUAUUUAAGUGAGAUGUGAAAUACCCGGGCUUAACUUGGGUGCUGCAUUUCAAACUGGAUAUCUAGAGUGCGGGAGAGGAGAAUGGAAUUCCUAGUGUAGCGGUGAAAUGCGUAGAGAUUAGGAAGAACACCAGUGGCGAAGGCGAUUCUCUGGACCGUAACUGACGCUGAGGCAUGAAAGCGUGGGYASCAAACAGGAUUAGAUACCCUGGUAGUCCACGCCGUAAACGAUGCUCACUAGGUGUUGGGGAAGCGAUUCCUUGGUACCGAAGCUAACGCGUGAAGUGAGCCGCCUGGGGAGUACGGCCGCAAGGUUAAAACUCAAAUGAAUUGACGG
RNAcentral lists this ribosomal RNA (563 nucleotides) under uncultured Clostridiaceae bacterium. RNAcentral's name for it is "bacterial SSU rRNA". It matches the Rfam family "Bacterial small subunit ribosomal RNA", at positions 335 to 916 of the family's 1533-position model. The record is from RNAcentral. Lineage: Bacteria; Bacillati; Bacillota; Clostridia; Eubacteriales; Clostridiaceae.